This 253-nucleotide ribosomal RNA is filed under the name uncultured bacterium. RNAcentral describes it as "partial 16S ribosomal RNA". It matches the Rfam family "Bacterial small subunit ribosomal RNA", at positions 524 to 776 of the family's 1533-position model. The record is from RNAcentral.
GACAGAGGCCUCAAGCGUUAGGCGGAAUCACUGGGCUUAAAGCGUGUGUAGGCGGAUCGUUAAGUGUCUUGUGAAAUCCCACGGCUCACCCGUGGAACUGCUGGGCAUACUGGCGAUCUUGGGCCAACUAGGGGCAACUGGAACAAGCGGUGGAGCGGUGAAAUGCGUAGAUAUCGAGAGGAACACCUGCGGCGAAGGCGGGUUGCUGGGCUGACACUGACGCUGAGGCGCGAAAGCUAGGGGAGCGAACGGG